This 1044-nucleotide long non-coding RNA is filed under the name Anas platyrhynchos platyrhynchos (common mallard). RNAcentral describes it as "lncRNA (ENSAPLG00000019017.1)". The record is from RNAcentral. Lineage: Eukaryota; Metazoa; Chordata; Aves; Anseriformes; Anatidae.
CCAGCUGGACGCCGAGCUGCUGCGCUACUCGGAGAGGUGCGGCCGGGCACCGGGCGGCCCCCGCGGGGUCGCUCUGCCCUGGGGGAAGCCCUCGGCCCGCCCGCCUGGGGGGAGCUCGGGGGUGUGCGCCCCGCUCACGGCUCGCUCUGCUUCCUCCGCAGCCUCCAGGGCGUGCCGGUGGCCUACGACAACGUGCGGGUGGUGGGGGAGCUCGGCGACAUCCGCGACGACCAGGGCUUCGUGCACCUGAACAUCGAGGCGGACUUCGUCAUCUUCAGCCCCAAGAAGGGGAAAAAAAUGGUGAAGCAGAAAGAAGGAAUGAAAAGGAACAGGCUAGCAGAAUGGAGACCAGGACGGGAACAGGCACACUGAUCGCCUCAUGAAGAUGGGUUUGGCCAAACUCAGCAAACUGCUCAGAGAAGCUCGUACAGAAAGUCACUGGAAAUGGGUGCACCAGAGCUAGAAAGAAGCUCGAGCUGAGAGAAGCAGACCUGUGCACACAGCUGCCCCUUGCUGGUAAGCAGCUGCGCAUUAUGGGGAAUCAUACGUCCUUAGGAACAAAGACUGUCCUGGUAACCUUACAGCUUAUUCUCCUUAUUAACAAUCAAGACAGUUUAUGAUCCUGAAACACGGGACCAAACUGAGGUCAAGGUGUGGGACUCUGCAACUAAAAACGACAAGGUUGCAGUGGGAUUGCUCAGCACCUGGUGAGCAAUCUCGGAGGCCUUAAAGAGCCCUGUGGGGCCACAGUCAGAAACGUGUUGUUUGCCAGACAGUGAGGGAGCUGCGGGCUCCUUUACUGAUCCGACUGCUACGCCAUCGGCCCCCCUGAACACUACUGCCAUUGAAGGCCUUUGCUGUUCCGUCCCCUGCUGACCUGGAUGUGCCUUUUGACCCAGGCCCUAUUGGCCUUGAAAAGGAGAUGGAUAUGCUUUUCUUCGAUUUGGGAAGAACGGGAUACAUAAGGCUGGAAGACCGAGUUGCUUGACAACUUAAAGCAAGACAUACUGUUCAAAGGGAAUGGAAAAUGGAGACUUGUUUGUA